This 1304-nucleotide long non-coding RNA is filed under the name Olea europaea subsp. europaea. The record is from RNAcentral. Lineage: Eukaryota; Viridiplantae; Streptophyta; Magnoliopsida; Lamiales; Oleaceae.
UAUAUUUAUUAUUAUUAUUUUUUUUACAGGAAAUAUUAUUCAUUUUAGUUACCAGAAAGUGAUUGAAGGAUAUAUGCCCCUGCCGCCAAGUGCUCUUCCAUCUAAUAUCACAAGGUAUUUAUUCCAUGGGAUUGAGACGAAGGAAAAUUUGCAAUUGAGGAAGUAUUUUGAAGUUGAAAAAUCAGGUAUUUUGGAGAUGAAUAUAUCAAAAUGUCCUAAGAAAAUGGUAUUGAAAUGUAUCAAGAGAAUAGUGUAAGAAAGAGGAAGGGGGAAAAAUAACGAAGAGAUAGAGAAACAGCUAGAUUAUUCAACAUGGAAAUUACGGUAAGGUAAGGAAAAGACAUUUGCCACCUGAACUUCCCAAUCUAAUUCUCCCGUUUUUAAGGUGUCUCCUUGCCAAUGAUUUUCAAUCCCCACAAUGUCCUCAACUUUGAUGCUUCCAGUACUAUAAUUCAACUGGCUGUUGAUGUUGGCUAACAUCAUCAAAAAUAUAGUUAUGGACAGCAUUAUUAGGCUCAGCAUUGUACCCUCUAAUACAGGGACAAAAAGGUCAUUUUCUAAUCCCAUAACAUAUGGUUCCAUGACUCCAUAAUCCUGCCCAAAGCCCCUAUUUGCCAUAUCAAAUUUUUGUAAGCAUGUCGAGAAAUCGAAUGAGCCAGCUAUUAUACCAUUUACACCAUUGAAUUCGUUGCCCAUUGCAGAAAAAGGGUUGAACUGGCUAUUCAUAAUCAUGCUUGCAUGGAGGAAGAUGAGGACGAUGUUGAAUCCAAGUACAUUGUCGCGAUGUCAUAUUCGUUCAUGGGUAUUAGUCCUUGCAUGACAGCACCCCUAGGCUCUGAUAUUGAGUCUUGGGAGGAUGUUGAAUUAUUGUUAUUAUUUUUCAACCUCUUCUUUACUGUGGAAUUCCAAAAAUUCUUUAUUCAAUAUAUUUCCUUUUAUCUCUUUGUUCAAACCACUCUAAAUCUUUGUGUUUGUUUUGGUUUUUUAGUUUUACUUAUUAUGCUCCUGAUAAGAAGAAUUUAUGUCUUCAAACGUAAGACUAAAACAAGUUUGAUUGAUGCGAACCUCGUAGCAACGUUGAUUACGAAAUCCACAACGAGAUUGACGAACCCAAGAAAGUCAAAUUAAUCCAAGAGUUUAGGAUUAACCCAAAAGAAAGUCGAACCAAAAAAUCCAACAAGAACGACGCUUGAAAGAUCCCUUGAUCACGUAAUCCAAGAAUUAAAUCCGGUUGUUUGAACGCAACAAGUUAACACUUGAUAAGUUCGAAAUUGUUCAAUAAAGAAUAAUGAAGAGAAGACAGU